RNAcentral lists this ribosomal RNA (1094 nucleotides) under Microbacterium sp. 255. RNAcentral describes it as "bacterial SSU rRNA". It matches the Rfam family "Bacterial small subunit ribosomal RNA", at positions 53 to 1158 of the family's 1533-position model. The record is from RNAcentral. Lineage: Bacteria; Bacillati; Actinomycetota; Actinomycetes; Micrococcales; Microbacteriaceae.
ACCAUGCAAGUCGAACGGUGAAGGAGAGCUUGCUCUCCGGAUCAGUGGCGAACGGGUGAGUAACACGUGAGCAAUCUGCCCCUGACUCUGGGAUAAGCGCUGGAAACGGCGUCUAAUACCGGAUACGAGCUGCGAAGGCAUCUUCAGCAGCUGGAAAGAACUUCGGUCAGGGAUGAGCUCGCGGCCUAUCAGCUAGUUGGUGAGGUAAUGGCUCACCAAGGCGUCGACGGGUAGCCGGCCUGAGAGGGUGACCGGCCACACUGGGACUGAGACACGGCCCAGACUCCUACGGGAGGCAGCAGUGGGGAAUAUUGCACAAUGGGCGCAAGCCUGAUGCAGCAACGCCGCGUGAGGGACGACGGCCUUCGGGUUGUAAACCUCUUUUAGCAGGGAAGAAGCGAAAGUGACGGUACCUGCAGAAAAAGCACCGGCUAACUACGUGCCAGCAGCCGCGGUAAUACGUAGGGUGCAAGCGUUAUCCGGAAUUAUUGGGCGUAAAGAGCUCGUAGGCGGUUUGUCGCGUCUGCUGUGAAAACUGGGGGCUCAACCCCCAGCCUGCAGUGGGUACGGGCAGACUAGAGUGCGGUAGGGGAGAUUGGAAUUCCUGGUGUAGCGGUGGAAUGCGCAGAUAUCAGGAGGAACACCGAUGGCGAAGGCAGAUCUCUGGGCCGUAACUGACGCUGAGGAGCGAAAGGGUGGGGAGCAAACAGGCUUAGAUACCCUGGUAGUCCACCCCGUAAACGUUGGGAACUAGUUGUGGGGUCCAUUCCACGGAUUCCGUGACGCAGCUAACGCAUUAAGUUCCCCGCCUGGGGAGUACGGCCGCAAGGCUAAAACUCAAAGGAAUUGACGGGGACCCGCACAAGCGGCGGAGCAUGCGGAUUAAUUCGAUGCAACGCGAAGAACCUUACCAAGGCUUGACAUAUACGAGAACGGGCUAGAAAUAGUCAACUCUUUGGACACUCGUAAACAGGUGGUGCAUGGUUGUCGUCAGCUCGUGUCGUGAGAUGUUGGGUUAAGUCCCGCAACGAGCGCAACCCUCGUUCUAUGUUGCCAGCACGUAAUGGUGGGAACUCAUGGGAUACUGCCGGGGU